GGGCGUGUGGUGUAGUGGUAUCACGUCUGCUUUGCAUGCAGAAGGCCCCGAGUUCAAACCUCGGCACGUCCA
This is a non-coding RNA of Perkinsus marinus ATCC 50983, 72 nucleotides long. The record is from Rfam. Lineage: Eukaryota; Perkinsozoa; Perkinsida; Perkinsidae.